RNAcentral lists this unclassified non-coding RNA (440 nucleotides) under Hevea brasiliensis (rubber tree). The record is from RNAcentral. Lineage: Eukaryota; Viridiplantae; Streptophyta; Magnoliopsida; Malpighiales; Euphorbiaceae.
GGCAGCCACGUUUCUACUUUCCUUUUCCGCUUUUCUACUCUUCUCCCAAACAAACCCCUAUAUAUAUAAUUCCCUCUUCCUCCCUCUCUUUUAUUCAUAUAGCCCAAAAACUACUGAACUUCUCUCUUCUAAGAAAUUGUUUGUGCGCAAAAUACACUGUGAUAAAAAUGGAUGGGAAAAAUGCUCUUUGGAUCGGAUUUCUCUGCAUUAUCGUCGCCGGUGUAGGGGGUCAAGCUCCUGCCACGUCACCCACUACUAGCCCCGCACCACCAACAUCCACUACCCCUACACCUACCGGUUCUCCACUUCCGGCUACUUCAUCUCCACCUCCUGCAGUAAGUUCACCUCCUCCAUCUGUAUCUUCUCCACCGGCUUCUUCACCACUACCUUCCGCUUCUCCUCCUCCACCAGUGAGCGCUCCACCACCAGCUACUCCUCCA